This 366-nucleotide long non-coding RNA is filed under the name Anas platyrhynchos (mallard). Its description in RNAcentral is "lncRNA (ENSAPLG00020003647.1)". Lineage: Eukaryota; Metazoa; Chordata; Aves; Anseriformes; Anatidae. The record is from RNAcentral.
GCAUAACAGGUUAUUUUCACAACUGUUCAUAAGACCAGUGAAACUAUGGAAGGAGAGAGGAGCUUCAAGGCCAGGAGAAACACUCUUAGUAACUUGGUAUAAACCCUCUGUGUGGUGUUUGGAGGCAACAGGAGCCGAGUUAUCAGCUUACUGGGAUGUCUCCAUUCCCCAGAACUGCCUUAAGGACAAGGAUCUGACAUGGUAAGGGAUCUCAUUCAGCAAAAUACUUGUAAUGUGCUGUCAAUAAUCAGAUAAAUAGCCUCAGCUGUUAUUCUGUACGGCUGUAUCAGAACUGUGGGAUCCACAGAAAAAUGUACUUCCCACAUGCAUUAUCAAUUUACUUCCCUUAAGCCCACCUGCACUGAU